Molecule: transfer RNA, 77 nt
Filed under: Bifidobacterium longum subsp. longum
Lineage: Bacteria; Bacillati; Actinomycetota; Actinomycetes; Bifidobacteriales; Bifidobacteriaceae
Also listed under: 5 other names
Description: tRNA-Val
Rfam family: tRNA
About the family: Transfer RNA (tRNA) molecules are approximately 80 nucleotides in length.
Source: RNAcentral
GGGCAAUUAGCUCAGUUGGUUAGAGCGCCACCUUUACACGGUGGAUGUCGGGGGUUCGAGUCCCUCAUUGCCCACCA